CAGUAGCCGCGGUAAUACGAAGGGGGCUAGCGUUGUUCGGAUUUACUGGGCGUAAAGGGUGCGUAGGCGGAUUGUUAAGUCAGGGGUGAAAUCCCGAGGCUCAACCUCGGAACUGCCUUUGAUACUGGCGAUCUUGAGUCCGGGAGAGGUGAGUGGAACUGCGAGUGUAGAGGUGAAAUUCGUAGAUAUUCGCAAGAACACCGGUGGCGAAGGCGGCUCACUGGCCCGGAUCUGACGCUGAGGCACGAAAGCGUGGGGAGCAAACAGGAUUAGAUACCCGGGUAGUCCCUGUCUCUUAUAC
RNAcentral lists this ribosomal RNA (301 nucleotides) under uncultured bacterium. RNAcentral describes it as "partial 16S ribosomal RNA". It matches the Rfam family "Bacterial small subunit ribosomal RNA", at positions 509 to 807 of the family's 1533-position model. The record is from RNAcentral.